Molecule: ribosomal RNA, 486 nt
Filed under: uncultured bacterium
Lineage: Bacteria
Description: bacterial SSU rRNA
Rfam family: Bacterial small subunit ribosomal RNA
Source: RNAcentral
AUGGCUCAGAACGAACGCUGGUGGCGUGUCUUAUACAUGCAAGUCGAGCGAGGCAGCAAUGCCGAGCGGCGAACGGGUGAGUAACGCGUAAGCAAUCUGCCCCAUAUCAGGAAAUACCCGUGCCAACGCGCGGUUAAUGUCCAGGAGAGUGGCUCCCCGCAUGGGGAGUUGACUAGAGAUUUAUCGGUAUGGGAUGAGCUUGCGUCCGAUUAGCUAGUUGGCGGGCAACGGCCCACCAAGGCGACGAUCGGUAGCCGGCCUGAGAGGGUGAUCGGCCACAUUGGGACUGAGAUACGGCCCAGACUCCUACGGGAGGCAGCAGUAGGGAAUAUUGCACAAUGGGGGGAACCCUGAUGCAGCAACGCCACGUGUGGGAAGAAGCAUUUCGGUGUGUAAACCACUGUCGUGAGGGAAUAAGGCCUGUUUUAGGACAGGAUUGAAUGUACCUCGAAAGGAAGCACCGGCAAACUUCGUGCCAGCAGCUGC